Molecule: ribosomal RNA, 323 nt
Filed under: Allomachilis froggatti
Lineage: Eukaryota; Metazoa; Arthropoda; Insecta; Archaeognatha; Meinertellidae
Description: eukaryotic LSU rRNA
Rfam family: Eukaryotic large subunit ribosomal RNA
Source: RNAcentral
AGCAUAUUACUAAGCGGAGGAAAAGAAACUAACGAGGAUUCCCUGAGUAACGGCGAGCGAAAAGGGAGAAGCCCAGCACCGAAUCCGGCGUCCCUCGAAAGGGGACGCCGAGACAUGUGGUGUGCGGGAGAGUCUUGCGGGGCGACCGGCGAGUCCAAGUCCUCUUGAAAGUGGCCAAAGCCCAGAGAGGGUGCCAGGCCCGUAGAAGACCGCUCGGUUCGCCUCGACAACGGCUACUCCUCAGAGUCGGGUUGCUUGAAAAUGCAGCCUCAAGAGGGUGGUAAACUCCAUCUAAGGCUAAAUACGACCACGAGACCGAUAGA